AGCUUUGUGCAGUGGCAGUGUCAUAGCCAAUGAGGGGUAUCCGAGGUGUGAUUAUUGCUAAUCAGAUAAACAUAUAUGUUCCAAAAGAAUGAAAAUAGUGCUAUGUGUUGCUGGAAUGGAUUC
This 123-nucleotide small nuclear RNA is filed under the name Chinchilla lanigera (long-tailed chinchilla). RNAcentral's name for it is "U4 spliceosomal RNA (ENSCLAG00000020497.1)". The stretch from base 1 to 63 matches the Rfam family "U4 spliceosomal RNA". From Rfam's summary of the family: U4 small nuclear RNA (U4 snRNA) is a component of the major U2-dependent spliceosome. The structure of U4 snRNA from yeast and human has been reported. U4 snRNA presents a k-turn RNA motif in the 5p-SL related to recognition of Snu13 protein. Lineage: Eukaryota; Metazoa; Chordata; Mammalia; Rodentia; Chinchillidae. The record is from RNAcentral.